ACCCGUACUCCGUCCGGCAGGCAAACGGCCACCCCACGCUUCCUAGGCGCACAGCACAAACGGUCCGUGGAGAACUAACGCGUGCGCCCGGAGCCUCUCCUUGUGCCACCUUUUCAUCCCUUCCUCCCGUUCCUGCCCAUCCCCGCUGCCGGCGCCGAUCCGGUGUCUGUCCUUGUAUACUGACUUGCAUUCUCUAGGUCAUUUUUUAGGGCCGAGUAGUAUUCCACCGUACGGACCCAGCACAUUGCUUCUGCACGCGUGUCGCGUGGAUGAACAUUCGUGCUGUUUCCAGUCCAAAUAAAGCCGCCGGGAACAUUGCACGUUCA
Neofelis nebulosa (Clouded leopard) is the source of this 326-nucleotide long non-coding RNA. RefSeq lists it as uncharacterized. The record is from RefSeq and is a predicted model, not a curated record. NCBI's taxonomy places the organism in Eukaryota, Metazoa, Chordata, Mammalia, Carnivora, Felidae. The transcript has 2 exons.